AACGAACGCUGGCGGCGUGGAUAAGACAUGCAAGUCGAACGGGAUUAUUUUUGUAGCAAUACAGAAAUAAUUCAGUGGCGAACGGGUGCGUAACACGUGGGCAAUCUGCCGAAAAGUGGGGGAUAGCUCGCCGAAAGGCGAAUUAAUACCGCAUGUGGUGAGGGACGACAUCUUCCUGAAUCCAAAGCCGGGGGUCAAACCUGGCGCUUUUUGAGGAGCCCGCGGCCUAUCAGCUAGNGGUGAGGUAACGGCCCACCAAGGCUUUGACGGGUAGCUGGUCUGAGAGGACGACCAGUCACACUGGAACUGAGACACGGUCCAGACACCUACGGGUGGCAGCAGUCGAGAAUUUUUCUCAAUGGGGGGCAA
Molecule: ribosomal RNA, 369 nt
Filed under: uncultured bacterium
Lineage: Bacteria
Description: bacterial SSU rRNA
Rfam family: Bacterial small subunit ribosomal RNA
Source: RNAcentral